RNAcentral lists this unclassified non-coding RNA (23 nucleotides) under Mus musculus (house mouse). RNAcentral's name for it is "oocyte_clustered_small_RNA7625". Lineage: Eukaryota; Metazoa; Chordata; Mammalia; Rodentia; Muridae. The record is from RNAcentral.
UCAGGUCAGAAAGCAGGAACUGA